UGUAUCUUGCCUUCUUAGAUGGGUCACUACCCACUAGUGCUAGAGAUUCUAGACAUGGAAAAUACAGUUAUGCACAUCACGUGUACAUUGUCUGUGGACAUGGAAUUGUGUUGCUGGCCAUGGUACAUUUGAAAAUUUUGCCACUUUCGGUGUUCUUACAUUUUGAUAACUUUGUUGCAGGCAGAGAAGACUUCAGUUCUUUCUACUUUGAUCAACAGGACAAAUGCACAGGAAUUGAAGCGGAUUGUCAUGAUAAUUCUUAAAGGUAAUCUAAAGCUGGUCUGUGAGAGGCUAAGGGAUCGGAGCCAACGGCAUAAGCGCCAGGUUGAGUUCAGAUACGGCAUAAUUUUUGAGAGCUCUGUUUUUUCUGGACUGGAAUUUGAAUCUUGUUUGACUUCUUCUGUACUGCAGUAUAGCUUGAGUUUUAAGUUGCAUCUGGCUUGUUUUUCAAUUUAAAUCCAUAUCAUGACCUACAAUUUGUCUCCGCAUACUUGUAAGGUACGUGUAGCCUUUUCUGGAUUGGCAAAUCAAGGGACUUCAUUAAGGAACCAUAUAUCAUGGUGAACUUUUCAAAGUUACUAUUGCUAGUGGAAUUGCAUGGAGCUUAUACUGGGUAUUGGCCUAUUGGGUGCAGGAUAUAGAAAUUGGGAAACCAGUGCGCCCCCAACUUGCAAUGAGAGUUGGUAAUGCUGCAACAGCUUGGAAAAGGGUCUUAUUCAAUGAAUUUUUCCGCAGCAUCAUAACAAAUGGGAUAUAUAUAUAUAUAUAUCAUCUCAAGAUUGCACUACAGUUGCCUAAUGGCCAUCACCACGAUAAACUGAUCCACUUUUCCAGGUUUUUUCACAUAGAUGGAUGGUAUCCUUGUAGUGCAUCCUCUUAACCUUAGAAUAGUGGAUUAUAUAUUAUUUUGAUUUGUAAUAAUUUAUAUGAUUAUCAUCUUACGGAUAGCUUCAUGGGAAAGAAGUGAUCGUUGAAUGCAAAUUUGAUGGCGAUCGCAUUCAAAUUCAUAAGAAUGGAACUGAGGUGCAUUUCUUCUCCAGGUAUAUAUCACAUUUACUGUACUCUUGUUUAGCUGCUUCAAAUAUUUUUAUUUUAUUUUUUGGGGUGAUUUACAAUCUCGUGUUUGAAGUAUACAUAUGGCAUCUCCUUGUUUGGUGUGAAAGCUGUGCAAUGCUUGCAGGAGCUUCCUUGAUCAUUCCGAAUAUGAGCAUGGGAUGUUGGACAUUAUUGUUCAGAGUAUUCUGGUUGAUAGGAUGGGUUUUACUUGCUGAAAAGGACAGAUCCUAAGUUGCAAAUCCAAAAAUUGAAAUCUUGACUCACUUGAAGCAAUAGACAGAUGCAUACAGAACUUGUUUUUGACCAAGAACACUUUGGAGGUUAAAAGCCUGAUGGGUUAAAAGCAUGAUUCCCGAAAGUUCUAACAUCAAUGUACACAUUAAUAUUUUUUGGGUCCAAAAGAGCCAUGGUUUAAAUAAUGCAUACAUUGACAUUGAGAUGGAAUUACGCUAGCUUGCUUAUGGACAUCUUAAGGAUGCUUAGAAGAAAAUCAAAUGCUGGAGUAUAUUGUCCUAUACUUAGAUUGGGAGAUGCAAGUCAAGGGGGUCAGCAUAUCAUGAGAAGCAACUAUGUCAAUGGAUCCAGUGGAAGUGUGACCGUGACUUACAUUUUUAGCAAGAUUAGAGGUGGCUGUAGCUUUUCCUAAUGUGCAUUUUUUAUGGUGAAAUGCUUGUAUGGGACAAGUGUUCGAAUUGUUUCUCUGAGUUUGGUUCAAAUCAAGAAAUUGCCAAGGCAGCUAGGGAAGGACUUGCAGUGAUAGACACUAGACAGUUGUGCUUUUGGCAUUCAAAGGCUUGUCAACAGUGAUUGAUUGGUUCAGGAAAUUAGAACCCAUUUGUGAGAAAUUUAGUUGUGAGUAGGUACUGGAGCAUACAUAACAUCUGAAUAAUGGCUUAAUAGGAUGUGGAUAUCAGACAGACCGACCUUUGAUUCACUUUUCUAAAUUGUGGAUGCUUUACACUUUCAAAUUCUCAUUUUCACCUUUGGUGGAGCUGUUAGCAAGCCAGAUGAAACUUACUCUGAUGUCAUCAAAAAGAAAGGAAAUGCUGUUUGAAGACCAUAUUCAGUGGCUCAACUCUCUGCUCCUCUGCUGUGAGAUCUAUUGCAAAUGAUAUUGUCUCUUCGGUAACACAAAUAGUUUUCCUUGGAGCAUCUCCUUUUUGUCUCUCUGUUUGUGCAAAUCUCAACUCGAAAAUAUUGGUUCUUGUCAACAAAUAAGAGUUUACGUUGACAUUUACUAUAACCAGAUGUUGCAUUUGAUAGUCUUUAUUCUGGGGAUACCAGUGUCAUUCACCAAAGCAUAAAGGCAUGAGCUUCUUCGAAAAGUUGCGAAGCCUACAAAGGGUCAUUUGGAAAUCUUAGUACCUGAUGGGGGUCUUAACACACGACAUCAUCCGGAUAGAGAAACAACUGUUGAUCUUAUACUGGGACAUCCUGAAUUUCUAAGAGUAAUACCUGACUUAGUUUGCUCGUGGACACGUCACAGGAGAGCCUUGUUGGUUGCUCAUUUGGAUGAUGUUGAAAGGUUCUUUAAGGAAACAAUCGAGAACAGGUGAGGCAUCCUAUCUGUUUCGGAAACUGCAUAAUGCUGUCUGAACUAAUAAACUGCUAAAAUUGGGUGAAUGUAAUAACUUUAUUUCUUGUGCAAUGUUAAAUUUUAAUGGUGAAAGUUUGAAAAGGUCGCUCUUUCAUUAUGGCAAUUGAUGAUUUAGUUAUUCUCUAUUUUUCCUUGUUUGUUGUGGCUUUAGUUCUUCUUGCUAUUAUUUUAUGUAUAAACAUGUGGCUGUCACUUUAUUGUAUAUUAUUUCAAUAGGAUUUCAUGUGGCUUAAUUUUCUUAAAUUUUGGAUGCCGAAGUGCUGUUAGAUACAUAUUUCUGUCGAUCAAUAUGGAAUGAAUUGGUGGGCUUGCUGGUUGAGUUCUUGAAGAUUUGGCAUCACUUUUACAGCCUAAAAUUCCUUCAUUGAUUCCGCAAUUUGUAUGUAUAUUUGCUUUCAUUAGAACUGCUAGUUGUAUUAAUCAAGGUUUGUCUUCUUACAUAGAGAUGAAGGAAUUUUCUUGAAAGACCUUGGUUCCAAAUGGGAACCAGGUGAUCGGAGUGGAAAGUGGUUAAAGCUAAAGCCGAACUAUAUUCGUGCUAGCUCUGAUCUCAAUGUUUGUUGUCAUAGGUGAAUAUCUGUUUUUUUUUACUACGUACAGCUUAACAAUUUGAGGCAGUAUAUCCUCGAUUGCUUAGGCCAUAACAUUGUUUUCUUCUCAUCGUUCCAUCUGUAAGAGGAUAUUACGGCUCUGGGUGUUGUGGAGGGGAGGUGAUUCCAGCUCUAAUACAUAAUCUGACCCUUGAUCUGCAAUUAGUGCUGCUUUGGGUGGAACUUCUAUUGAUUCAUAUAGAAAUACAGGUAGCUCAAUUCUUGGUUGGUCUUGCAGAACGUCCUGCUUUAAAUACAUGUCCAAGACGGUACUUUCCUUCAGCAACCAUUCUCAUCUAUACCCUUGACUUCUUGGGUAUUAUAUUGCUGCAUCUGAAAUAUACUUCCAAGAAAAAGGUCAAUAGUUAUUCAUUUCAUGGACUUCUCUAUUUAUUUUAUUGGGUGAGCUUAUCUAUCAACAGUGGCAAUGCAGCUUAUUUCAACCUUAUGGUCGUAGGAUGGAUGAGGAACCACUUUAGAGUCUAAAUUAUAAAAGUGACUUGGAUUUGAUAUUGCUAUAUCUACUGCCCUCUAGUGGGUCUUCCUUUUAUUGCUAAAUCCUGAUCCCAGAGAGGAACUGGUGUAUUGAGGUUCGAGACAUCCAUAGCCAGGGGAAUGCUUGUGCCGAUUGGAUGGCGAGACGAGCUUUAAGCCUUUCCCUUGGCUCCCAGUUCUUUGUCCAGCCCCACAAGGGCUCAGAGGCACUUCUCAUGGGUGACGUAGUUGGGGUCUCCAUGCCCCGCCAUUGUACUCCUUAGUCGUUUCUUUCUUGUAUUGCAGGCUUCAGCCUCCCAAAGUACCAGAAAAAAAAAAAUCCUGAUCCCAGGAUCAACCAUUCUAAUAUAUCACAAAAUGAAGGAUAAUGGAUCUAACUGCAUCAAUAUAUUGCAGUUUCAUAUCCUUCUGCAGGGUUGGUACAGGGCUUUCAGAUGCUGUUGUGACCAAAUUAAAGCCACGUUUCAGGAAAUAUGAAAUACCCGAAGAAGGGACCCCUGAGCUUUCAUUAGGUUACCAAUCACUUGAAGGAGAGACCAGAUGUCCGGGUGGAAAGCCCUGAGAAACAACCAGAACAGAAGAUCCAGCUGAGGCUUAUCCGAAUCAGAGGAGGUUGGGCCUUGAAGUUCAUUGGGGUGGUGGGAAAGCAAGCAAAAAGUCUUGCUCUCGCAGAUGCUACACACUUGGUAGUACUGAAAGUACCGGGAUUGGCAGCAGGCUUGCAUGCACUAACUGAUAGGUGCGUCUUUAAAUUUUGUAAACAGUCCUCUUGGACAUUGUUCCAAGCAGUAGUAUGUGAUUGCAAAAUUUGUCUUUAAUGAACUUCCAAGAAAAAAAAAGCCUCUCUGUGAGACACCUCAUAGACUGAUGUAUCUGUCUGCACAAAAGCACAAUUAUUUUUAUCUGAUAGUAAUUUUUCAAUCAGCAAUCUAUGCCUGAAUGAGCAGGUAGCUUCUAACCAUUGAGUGGGAAGUCAUGCACAAUAUUUACUUGGGGGAAUGGGAGAUGUGUGCACUAGGAGUGAACUUGAAUUGGUCCCUUAGCUAAAAGCAGAGAGCUUCAAGUCUCACUCUAUUUUGUACCGCUUCGGUGCAAAAGAGAAGCAGCUUCUUGAGAAAAAGCAACUUGCAUGUCGUGAGUUAGUUCAAAAUGGUUGGGAGACUGCUUAGAGAGUGAUCGGAAGUUGCCCGAGGACCCAUAUAACUUACACCUUGCAGUAGUAGAUGAGUCGGUCAAGAUAUAUGAGUUGGAAGUUCUGCUCUCUCUUCCAUCGUAAAAGUUCUUGUAAGUUCUAGAAUCUAUCCCUUGCAGAAGAGGUUUGUGGACAAAUAUAUUGUCCUUUGAUGCUUGCUGAAUUUAGGAAUCACAGUAUGGUUUUGCAGAUGAUGAAUGUCUUUUAGAAGUUUGCUGAUGUUUCUCAUCUGUACAUAACUGAGGUGUUUGCUUUAACAUUUUGUU
Punica granatum (pomegranate) is the source of this 5196-nucleotide non-coding RNA. The record is from RefSeq and is a predicted model, not a curated record. Lineage: Eukaryota; Viridiplantae; Streptophyta; Magnoliopsida; Myrtales; Lythraceae.